This 482-nucleotide ribosomal RNA is filed under the name uncultured Sneathia sp. RNAcentral describes it as "bacterial SSU rRNA". It matches the Rfam family "Bacterial small subunit ribosomal RNA", at positions 36 to 524 of the family's 1533-position model. Lineage: Bacteria; Fusobacteriati; Fusobacteriota; Fusobacteriia; Fusobacteriales; Leptotrichiaceae. The record is from RNAcentral.
CUGACAGAAAUGCUUAACACAUGCAAAGUCGAUGAUGGGGAGCUAGCUUGCUAGAAGAAAGUCAUGGCGGACGGGUGAGUAACGUGUAAAGAACUUACCAUAUAGACUGGGAUAACAGAGGGAAACUUCUGAUAAUACUGGAUAAGUUAGUAGUAGCAUUACUAAGUAAUGAAAAGGUAGCAAUACGCUAUAUGAGAGCUUUUGCAUCCUAUUAGCUAGUUGGUGGGGUAAAAGCCCUACCCAAGGCGAUGAUAGGUAGCCGGCCUGAGAGGGUGGACGGCCACAAGGGGACUGAGAUACGGCCCUUACUCCUACGGGAGGCAGCAGUGGGGAAUAUUGGACAAUGGAGGCAACUCUGAUCCAGCAAUUCUGUGUGUGUGAAGAAGGUUUUAGGACUGUAAAACACUUUUAGUAGGGAAGAAAGAAAUGACGGUACCUACAGAAGAAGCGACGGCUAAAUACGUGCCAGCAGCCGCGGUAAU